Long non-coding RNA from Nerophis lumbriciformis (worm pipefish), 1092 nucleotides. RefSeq lists it as uncharacterized. Lineage: Eukaryota; Metazoa; Chordata; Actinopteri; Syngnathiformes; Syngnathidae. The record is from RefSeq and is a predicted model, not a curated record.
GGUGUGAAAAAUGUGUGUUCCAUAGAAAAAUCUCAUUGUGAACAAAUUCCAAGGGGGGGUGUGAGAGGUAAUAGCGUGCAUCUUGACAAAUGCAGACCGAUUAUUAAAAUUCGCUUCAAAACGGAGCGGGAAAUGAAAAUGUUUUGUUCCCUAGAAAAAUCUCAUUGUGAACAAGUUCCAAGGGGGGGCGUGAGAGGUAAUAGCAUGCAGCUUGACAAAUGCAGACUGAUAAUUAACAUUCCCUUCAAAAGGGGGCGUGAAACAUUUUUGUUCCCUAGAAAAAUUUCAUUGUGAACAAGUUCCAAGGGGGGGGGCGUGAGAAGUAAUAGCGUGCAUCUUGACAAAUGCAGACGAUAAUUAAAAUUUGCUUCAAAAGGGGGGGCGUGAAAAUGUUGUGUUCCCUAGAAAAAUCUCAUUGUGAACAAGUUCCAAGGGGGGGCGUGAGAGGUAAAAUAGCAUGCAUCUUGACAAAUGCAGACGAUAAUUAAAAUUCGCUUCAAAAGGGGGGGCGUGAAAAUGUUUUGUUCCCUAGAAAAAUCUUAUUGUGAACAAGUUCCAAGGGGGGGCAUGAGAGGUAAUAGCGUGCAUCUUGACAAAUGCAGACCGAUGAUUAAAAUUUGCUUCAAAAAGGAGCGGGAAAUGAAAAUGUUUUGUUCCCUAGAAAAAUCUCAUUGUGAACAAGUUCCAAGGGGGGGCGUGAGAGGUAAAAUAGCAUGCAUCUUGACAAAUGCAGACGAUAAUUAAAAUUCGCUUCAAAAGGGGGGGCGUGAAAAUGUUUUGUUCCCUAGAAAAAUCUUAUUGUGAACAAGUUCCAAGGGGGGGCGUGAGAGGUAAUAGAGUGCAUCUUGACAAAUGCAGACCGAUAAUUAAAAUUCCCUUCAAAAGGGGGGGUGAAAAAUGUUUGUUCCUUAGAAAAAUUUAAUUGUGAACAAGUUCCAUAGGGGGGGCGUGAGAGGUAAUAGUGUGCAUCUUGACAAAUGCAGACCGAUAAUUAACUUUCCCUUCAAAAUUAGAAACGUUGCUUUAGAAAAAUUUAAACUGUGAGCAAGUUCCAACAUGGUGCUUCUUAAAUGGGGGAGGGGGGGCACUAUG